Molecule: ribosomal RNA, 518 nt
Filed under: uncultured bacterium
Lineage: Bacteria
Description: bacterial SSU rRNA
Rfam family: Bacterial small subunit ribosomal RNA
Source: RNAcentral
AGAGUUUGAUCCUGGCUCAGGAUGAACGCUAGCUACAGGCUUAACACAUGCAAGUCGAGGGGCAGCAUUGGAGUAGCAAUACUCAGAUGGCGACCGGCGCACGGGUGAGUAACACGUAUCCAACCUGCCGCUUACUCGGGGAUAGCCUUUCGAAAGAAAGAUUAAUACCCGAUGGUAUAAAGAGUUCGCAUGUUCUCUUUAUUAAAGAAUUUCGGUAAGCGAUGGGGAUGCGUUCCAUUAGAUAGUUGGCGGGGUAACGGCCCACCAAGUCUACGAUGGAUAGGGGUUCUGAGAGGAAGGUCCCCCACAUUGGAACUGAGACACGGUCCAAACUCCUACGGGAGGCAGCAGUGAGGAAUAUUGGUCAAUGGACGAGAGUCUGAACCAGCCAAAGUAGCGUGAAGGAUGACUGCCCUAUGGGUUGUAAACUUCUUUUAUAAGGGAAUAAAGUGAGGGACGUGUCCCUUUUUGUAUGUACCUUAUGAAUAAGGAUCGGCUAACUCCGUGCCAGCCGCCGC